Pantherophis guttatus is the source of this 775-nucleotide long non-coding RNA. RefSeq lists it as uncharacterized. The record is from RefSeq and is a predicted model, not a curated record. Lineage: Eukaryota; Metazoa; Chordata; Lepidosauria; Squamata; Colubridae.
CAUUCCUCCGCCGCUGACUCAGCCCCGGGCGAGGCGAGGCCGUGGUGGCUUUGCGCGGGGCGCGAUUGGCUGCAGGGGCGGAGCGCAACUCGAUUCCACCCCAGCCGGGAGCGCGGCAGAGGAGGAGGAGGAGGAGGAGGAGGGGCUCCAGCUGCUCGCUGCUGCUGUCAUUCCCCAAGCCAGACGACUUUGCAUUGGCGAUAAAAAGGCGGCUUGUUGCGCUUCGUCUCGCGCGCCCGCACUUUUGCUGCCUCGCGAAGGACACGCCCGUCCGCAAAAGCCCCCCGGCUAAGCGUAGAUGAUCGCCAGGGAUAGCCGCCCGCUUCUGGCCCGAUACCUCUUGCCUACAGAGUCUGCCAACUUUCUCUGCUUGAUCUGUGCCAUGUUCCAAUGACGAGGGAGAAGGAUUUCGAGAUCUUUCAGGACAAUGUUUCCCAGUCAUCAAGAUGCAUUCAUGUUCUUACAAGCUAUGUGUCUGCUGCACAACCUUAGUCUCCAAACACCUUGGUGGUGGUUUUCAGGCUCUUUUCAUAUGUACCACCAAAUGUUUCUACUGAAUGUAAAAACACAGGUGAAAUCUGUAAAGAGAGGGGGAUGAUGGUCAUAUUAACUGCACAUAAUUGGUUACAUUCGGUUUAAUUCAUUGUAGUUUUUUUUUGUAUCAACUUUCUGGGAUGCAGCUAAUGUGUCUCUUUGCCCCGCAAGAUUGUGCACCAUUGCACAGAUUCAAUGAUGGCUCUCUUCCUGUUAAUUAAAAUAGGAAAACACAACACAA